RNAcentral lists this ribosomal RNA (293 nucleotides) under uncultured bacterium. Its description in RNAcentral is "partial 16S ribosomal RNA". It matches the Rfam family "Bacterial small subunit ribosomal RNA", at positions 334 to 623 of the family's 1533-position model. The record is from RNAcentral.
AUGCGCCUACGGGGCGCAGCAGUGAGGAAUAUUGGUCAAUGGUCGGGAGACUGAACCAGCCAAGCCGCGUGAGGGAUGAAGGUACAGAGUAUCGUAAACCUCUUUUGUCAGGGAACAAAGGCGGGGACGCGUCCCCGGAUGGGUGUACCUGAAGAAAAAGCAUCGGCUAACUCCGUGCCAGCAGCCGCGGUAAUACGGAGGAUGCGAGCGUUAUCCGGAUUUAUUGGGUUUAAAGGGUGCGCAGGCGGUCUGUCAAGUCAGCGGUCAAAGCCCGGGGCUCAACCCCGGCCCGC